AAGAAAGUAAGAAAGGGCGUAUGGCGGAUGCCUAGGCUCACGGAGGCGAUGAAGGACGUGAUAAGCUGCGAUAAGCUUCGGGUAGGUGCAAAUAACCCUUGAUCCGAAGAUUUCCGAAUGGGACAACCUAGCCGUCUGAAGGACGGUUACUAGCACUUAAGUGUUAGAGCUAACGCAGGGAACUGAAACAUCUUAGUACCUGCAGGAAGAGAAAAUAAAUGAAUGAUUCCCCCAGUAGUGGCGAGCGAACGGGGAACAGCCCAAACCAGUGGCGUCGCAAGGCGUGGCUGGGGUUGUAGGACCGCGACAUUGUAUGCAAAUCGUGAACAGAACACUUUGGAAAAUGUGACCAUAGACGGUGAUAGUCCAGUAUGUGAAGCGAAAUGCAGCAUAGCGGUAUCCUGAGUAACGCGGGACACGAGGAAUCCUGCGCGAAUCUGCCGGGACCAUCCGGUAAGGCUAAAUACUCCCGUGAGACCGAUAGCGAACGAGUACUGUGAAGGAAAGGUGAAAAGAACCCCGAGCAGGGGAGUGAAAUAGUUCCUGAAACCAUACGCCUACAAGCGGUCGGAGCAUCUUACGAUGUGACGGCGUGCCUUUUGCAUAAUGAUCCUACGAGUUACCGUCACUGGCGAGGUUGAGUGUCACGAGACACGUAGCCGCAGUGAAAGCGAGCCUGAAUAGGGCGCACAGUCAGUGGGGGUAGACGCGAAACCAAGUGAUCUACACUUGGCCAGGAUGAAGUCCCGGUAACACGGGAUGGAGGUCCGCACCAAUAAGCGUUGAAAAGCUUCUGGAUGAGCCGAGUGUAGGAGUGAAAGGCCAAUCAAACUUGGAGAUAGCUCGUACUCCCCGAAAGGCAUUUAGGUGCCGCGUCGGAUGGUCACCGUGAGAGGUAGAGCGACCGAUAGGACAAGAGGGCUUCACCGCCUAUCGAGUCCUGACGAACUCCGAAUGCUCACGGUCUGCAGUCCGGCAGUAAGGGGGCGGGUGCUAAGGUCCGUCCCCGAGAGGAGAAGAAUCCAGACCGCCGUCUAAGGUCCCGGAGUUCUGCCUGAGUUAGUCUAACGAAGUCUGGUCCCUAUGACAGCUAGGAUGUUGGCUUGGAAGCAGCCAUUCAUUCAAAGAGUGCGUAACAGCUCACUAGUCGAGGGUCCGGGCAUGGAUAAUAAUCGGGUAUAAGGCAGACACCGAAGGCGCGGGAUAGCAAUUAUAAAAGUAUCGGUAGGGGAGCAUACUCACAGCGUCGAAUGGUGUACGUAAGUUAUCCUGGAGCGGUGAGUAAAGCAAAUGUAGGAAUAAGUAACGAUAAGGAGGGUUAGAUUCCCUCCCGCUGUAAGACCAAGGUUUCCCGGGCAAUGCCAAUCAGCCCGGGGUCAGUCGGGUCCUAAGUCUAAGCCGAACGGCGAUGGCGAUGGCAGAGACGGUUAAUAUUCCGUCACUGCCGCAUGGGGCGACGUGGAGACGGAGCAGUGAAACCACCGCGGGGCGACGGAAGUCCCCGUUGAAGAGUGUAGGCGUUGAGGAUGGCAGGCAAAUCCACCAUCCGAGCUGAACUUGAGAGUACGGAGUCCUCCUCGGAGGAAUCUGAUAGUGUGGGUAAUCAUACUCCCGAGAAAAUCCGCUAAGCUUAACCCAUGCGGCACCCGUACCGCAAACGGACACACGUGGUCGGGUAGAACAUACUAAGGCGUUGAGAGAUUCAUGGUUAAGGAACUAGGCAAAUUGACCCUGUAACUUCGGGAUAAAGGGUCCUCGUGAUGAGCGAGGCGCAGAGAAUAGGUCCAGGCAACUGUUUAACAAAAACACAGGGCUGUGCAAACUCGAAAGAUGACGUAUACAGCCUGACACCUGCCCGGUGCCGGAAGGUUAAGAGGAGAUGUCACUCGCAAGAGGAAGCAUUGAAUUGAAGCCCCGGUAAACGGCGGCCGUAACUAUAACGGUCCUAAGGUAGCGAAAUUCCUUGUCGGGUAAGUUCCGACCUGCACGAAUGGUGUAAUGAUCCGGACGCUGUCUCAACCAUGAGCUCAGUGAAAUUGUAGUAUCGGUGAAGAUGCCGAUUACCCGCGAUGGGACGAAAAGACCCCGUGAACCUUUACUACAGCUUAGCAUUGACCUUGGUCAUCCGAUGUGUAGGAUAGGCCGGAGGCUUCGAAGCGGGAGCGCCAGCUUUCGUGGAGCCAUCCUUGAAAUACGGCCCUUUGGCUGUCUGAGGUCUAACGCGCGAUGCGCGGACACUGCUUGGUGGGUAGUUUGACUGGGGUGGUCGCCUCCAAAAGCGUAACGGAGGCUUCCAAAGGUGCCCUCGGGUCGAUUGGUAACCGACCUCAAAGAGUGCAAUGGCAUAAGGGCGCUUGACUGGGAGGCAGACAUGCCGAGCAGGCAGGAAACUGGGGCAUAGUGAUCCGGCGGAUGUGUAUGGAAACUCCGUCGCUCAAAGGAUAAAAGGUACUCCGGGGAUAACAGGCUGAUCCCCCCCAAGAGCUCAUAUCGACGGGGUGGUUUGGCACCUCGAUGUCGGCUCGUCACAUCCUGGGGCUGGAGAAGGUCCCAAGGGUUGGGCUGUUCGCCCAUUAAAGUGGCACGCGAGCUGGGUUCAGAACGUCGUGAGACAGUUCGGUCUCUAUCUAUCGUGGGCGUGGGAGUUUUGAGUGGUGCCGUCACUAGUACGAGAGGACCGUGAUGGACAGACCUCCGGUUUACCAGUUGUGCCGCCAGGCGCACCGCUGGGUAUCUGAGUCUGGAUUGGAUAAGCGCUGAAAGCAUCUAAGUGCGAAGCCAGCCGCAAGAUGAGAACUCCAUUGAGGGUCGUCAAAGACGAUGACGUUGAUAGGAUGCAGGUGUAAAGACAGCGAUGUCAAAGCCGAGCAUUACUAAUUGCCCGAACACUUUCUUUA
RNAcentral lists this ribosomal RNA (2897 nucleotides) under Segatella copri. RNAcentral's name for it is "23S ribosomal RNA". It matches the Rfam family "Bacterial large subunit ribosomal RNA". Lineage: Bacteria; Pseudomonadati; Bacteroidota; Bacteroidia; Bacteroidales; Prevotellaceae. The record is from RNAcentral.